RNAcentral lists this ribosomal RNA (253 nucleotides) under uncultured bacterium. RNAcentral describes it as "partial 16S ribosomal RNA". It matches the Rfam family "Bacterial small subunit ribosomal RNA", at positions 524 to 776 of the family's 1533-position model. The record is from RNAcentral.
UACGGAGGGAGCUAGCGUUGUUCGGAAUUACUGGGCGUAAAGAGCGUGUAGGCGGUCCGGUAAGUCCGUUGUGAAAGUCAAGGGCUCAACCCUUGAAUGCCGGCGGAUACUGUCGGGCUAGAGUCCGGAAGAGGCAAGUGGAAUUCCCGGUGUAGCGGUGAAAUGCGCAGAUAUCGGGAGGAACACCUAUGGCGAAGGCAGCUUGCUGGGACGGUACUGACGCUGAGACGCGAAAGCGUGGGGAGCAAACAGG